UGGUGGAGUGAUUUGUCUGGUUAAUUCCGUUAACGAACGAGACCUCAGCCUGCUAAUUAGUUGUAUCGAAUCCUUGCGAUUUGGUAGGCUUCUUAGAGGGACUAUCGGAUACUCAACCGAUGGAAGUUAGAGGCAAUAGCA
This 141-nucleotide ribosomal RNA is filed under the name uncultured eukaryote. RNAcentral's name for it is "partial 18S ribosomal RNA". It matches the Rfam family "Eukaryotic small subunit ribosomal RNA", at positions 1299 to 1458 of the family's 1831-position model. The record is from RNAcentral.